This is a long non-coding RNA of Manduca sexta (tobacco hornworm), 488 nucleotides long. RefSeq lists it as uncharacterized. The record is from RefSeq and is a predicted model, not a curated record. NCBI's taxonomy places the organism in Eukaryota, Metazoa, Arthropoda, Insecta, Lepidoptera, Sphingidae. The transcript has 3 exons.
UGCAAACCGAACGCGGUUCAGUUAUUUAGUUAGUUAUCUGAAAUAAAACACCGUAAAAACUCAUUUCCACUUCCACGUAUAAAUUUUGUGCAUUAAUUCGUGUUGUGAAACAGUGACAUGGAAGAUAUACAGUUUAAUGCUAUCAAGUGAAUGGAAAUAAGCAAUCGCGAUAAUGUUUAGUUGUUUUUAUUUUAUACAGCCUGAAAUAAAUUGGACUUAACUUUCCAGUAAAGUUAGCAGUGCGACAAUGUACGCGACAUCGACGGCGUCAACGACAACGUCGGGCUCAGGGCGCGCACUGGGGGCAUCCGCGAGUGAACGACGCGUGCGCAUCGUGAGGCUGCUGCGGCCGCGCAGGGCGGCACCUGCCUUUGGGUUCUCACUGCGCGGCGGUAGCGAACAUGGCUCCGGCUUCUUCGUAUCCAAAGUCGAGUUUAACUCAGAGGCACAUCUUCAGGGAUUGAAGGUAACGCACCCACGAUUGCUCU